GAUGAACGCUAGCGGCAGGCUUAAUACAUGCAAGUCGAACGGGAUUCAGGGUAGCAAUACUUUGAUGAGAGUGGCGCACGGGUGCGUAACGCGUAUGCAACCUACCUUUAACAGGGGAAUAGCCCCAAGAAAUCGGGAUUAAUACUCCGUAACAUUGCGGGAUGGCAUCAUUCUGCAAUUAAAGAUUUAUCGGUUAAAGAUGGGCAUGCGUGACAUUAGCUUGUUGGUGAGGUAACGGCUCACCAAGGCAACGAUGUCUAGGGGUCCUGAGAGGGUUAUCCCCCACACUGGUACUGAGACACGGACCAGACUCCUACGGGAGCAGCAGUAAGAAUAUUGGUCAAGUGGGCGACAAGCCUAGAACCAGCCAU
Molecule: ribosomal RNA, 371 nt
Filed under: uncultured bacterium
Lineage: Bacteria
Description: bacterial SSU rRNA
Rfam family: Bacterial small subunit ribosomal RNA
Source: RNAcentral